GCCUAGCCCUAAACAUAAGUAUUUUAAAGUAUUAUUAAUACUCGCCAGGGGACAACGAGCCUAGGCUUAAAACCCAAAGGACUUGGCGGUGCUUUAGACCCCCCUAGAGGAGCCUGUUCUAGAACCGAUACUCCCCGUUAAACCUCACCCUCCCUUGUUCACCCCGCCUAUAUACCGCCGUCGUCAGCUUACCCUGUGAAGGAUAAACAGUAAGCGAAAUUGGUAAAACCCAAAACGUCAGGUCGAGGUGUAGCGCACGAGAGGGGAAGAAAUGGGCUACAUUUACUGAAGCAGUAAAUACGGAUGACGAACUGAAAUCACGUCUAAAGGAGGAUUUAGUAGUAAGAGAAGAGUAGAGUGCUUCCCUGAAAACGGCCCUGAAGCGCGC
RNAcentral lists this ribosomal RNA (388 nucleotides) under Glossogobius cf. aureus CMH-2014. RNAcentral describes it as "partial 12S ribosomal RNA". It matches the Rfam family "Bacterial small subunit ribosomal RNA", at positions 794 to 1384 of the family's 1533-position model. The record is from RNAcentral. Lineage: Eukaryota; Metazoa; Chordata; Actinopteri; Gobiiformes; Gobiidae.